This 1501-nucleotide long non-coding RNA is filed under the name Mus musculus (house mouse). Its description in RNAcentral is "long non-coding RNA chr10:58824449-58825950". The record is from RNAcentral. Lineage: Eukaryota; Metazoa; Chordata; Mammalia; Rodentia; Muridae.
UUUUUUUUUUUUUUCUUUCAUUAUUCUUCCUUCGAGGCAUUUCUGACUCCGUUUUAAAUCCCCCUGGUUACUUGUACUGCUCUUUCCUCAUUUUCCCCUUUUGUGGGCUAAAUGUUUUUCUCAUCAUUAACUGCUUUUGUGGCUCUUUGAAGCUAGCAACUUCUGGCUCCCAGGAGGGAGUACUAGCUUGUUAGUAAUCCUGCUUUUAACCUUCAUUGGCUAGGCAUUCUCUCCACAAUAGUGAACUGGAGGAGGGGCAGGAGCCCUGUGUGAUCUUUGAGCCCUACCUGGCUGACUUCCCCAGUGCCAGCAAAGGCCACUUGAGUAAGAGUGGCAGCUGAGACCACUAGCCUUCCUGCGGGUGGUUCUUCAUGGGGUGGGCUGAGGCUUGCGUUAGCCAUGCAUCUCUCUCAAGAAGGCUAAUGUGGAUUUAGGGUAUGAGUCCCAGGAAAGAUGGGCGGAAGCAGACUGAAGACAGGUUCAGAGCAGCCACUGAGGGUCAUGUCUACCUCUGCCAGGAGGACCUCAUCUCCUGUCAUGCCUGUUGAGUAUGCAGGUGGCUCCCUGCGUGAGCCCUUAGGUAUGCUUAGCUGGGAUUGCAUCUUCUCUCUACCCUCCACAAGUGUGUGUCUUUUGGCUGUGGUGUCCCUUCCUUGAUGCUGCCAUGUCUUCUGGAAGUAUUUGAAUCUCAGUUUUCUACGGAUUGCCCAGUGGCUGCUUGGACAGCCAAGUGGGGCUGGUGUCCACUGCUCUUCCUGUUUGGAACUGUAGUGCUCUUGGACCCUUCUGGGUGGAUUUUUGGUAGCUCUGAGGCCUGGUAAACUCUGAGUUCCUGGUUUUUUGGCAGCUGUCCAACCUUCCUACAAGCACCUUUCUAUGUGUGGUCUUAUGUUUAUUCUUAUAAUUAGAGAACUAUCUUAGUGGAAGAACAUUUGCCUAACAUGUGCAUUAUCCUGGGUUUGAUCCCAUCAGUCUCUACUCCCCCACCCCCAAUAAAACAUCCCCAUGACUAUUCUGUUCUAUCCAGAAUGUGCUGGGCAGAAUGGGAUGUGAUUUCAGUACCACAUUUGUGGGUCUUUGACCAGAGUUGGAAUCAGCUAUGUCUCCCGUGGCUUCUCAUAGCUGGCCCAUCCUGGUACCCCAAGAUCAUUCAUUCUUGAUGACUGAGCCUGAUGAGUCUUAGAGAGAGAACAGGGCAGCCUGCUGGGCUUUAAGGCUCUGAGUGAUCAGGGAAGACAGUGUGAGCCCAACUCCUGGGUCUCUGGGGGAAGAAUGGCCUCCAUAAAGUCCCUGCUGCCUGGGGCUCCUUCGUGCAGUCACCUGCUGAACUUAGCUAAGAGGGUGUGGGUAGGUCUUCAUUUUGUUUUUGAUUGAUACAUGGUAAUUGUACCUAUUUAUAGGACAGACUGUCAUGUUUUAGUAUGUUGUACAAUGAGGAAAUAAAGGUAAUUAGCAUCUCUAUCAUCUUAAAAAUUCACCAUCUCUUUGUGUUGAGAAGACU